UUACAGAGACACAGUGGCUUUGUACUA
RNAcentral lists this non-coding RNA (27 nucleotides) under Rattus norvegicus (Norway rat). The record is from RNAcentral. Lineage: Eukaryota; Metazoa; Chordata; Mammalia; Rodentia; Muridae.